RNAcentral lists this ribosomal RNA (253 nucleotides) under uncultured bacterium. Its description in RNAcentral is "partial 16S ribosomal RNA". It matches the Rfam family "Bacterial small subunit ribosomal RNA", at positions 524 to 776 of the family's 1533-position model. The record is from RNAcentral.
UACAGGGGAUGCAAGUGUUAUCCGGAAUUAUUGGGCGUAAAGCGUCUGCAGGUUGAUAUGUAAGUCUUUUGUUAAACCUCUGAGCUCAACUCAGAAUCUGCAAAAGAAACUACAUGUCUUGAGUAUAGUAGGGGUAAAGGGAAUUUCCAGUGGAGCGGUGAAAUGCGUAGAUAUUGGAAAGAACACCAACAGCGAAGGCACUUUACUGGGCUAUUACUGACACUCAGAGACGAAAGCUAGGGGAGCAAACGGG